GCGCGGGUGGUGAAAUUGGCAGACACGCCAGCUUGAGGGGCUGGUUCCGCAAGGAGUGCAGGUUCAAAUCCUGUCCCGCGCA
Molecule: transfer RNA, 82 nt
Filed under: Candidatus Abzuiibacterium crystallinum
Lineage: Bacteria; Pseudomonadati; Candidatus Omnitrophota
Also listed under: 1 other name
Description: Candidatus Omnitrophica bacterium CG11_big_fil_rev_8_21_14_0_20_45_26 tRNA-Leu
Rfam family: tRNA
About the family: Transfer RNA (tRNA) molecules are approximately 80 nucleotides in length. Their secondary structure includes four short double-helical elements and three loops (D, anti-codon, and T loops).
Source: RNAcentral